AACGAACGCUGGCGGCGUGGAUAAGACAUGCAAGUCGAACGCUUGUCGUAGGGUAGCAAUAUUCUGCGGCAGGAGUGGCGCAAGGGUGCGUAACACGUGGGUCAUUUGCCGCGAAGUUGGGAACAACUCGUUGAAAGACGAGCUAAUACCUAAUGUGCUCCGCAAGGAGUAAAGCCGGGGACCGAAAGGCCUGGCGCUUCGCGAUAAGCCCGCGGCCUAUCAGCUAGUUGGCGGGUAAAAGCCCACCAAGGCUAAGACGGGUAGCUGGUCUGAGAGGACGACCAGCCACACUGGAACUGAGACACGGUCCAGACACCUACGGGUGGCAGCAGUCGAGAAUUUUUCACAAUGGGCGAAAGCCU
RNAcentral lists this ribosomal RNA (362 nucleotides) under uncultured bacterium. RNAcentral's name for it is "bacterial SSU rRNA". It matches the Rfam family "Bacterial small subunit ribosomal RNA", at positions 29 to 384 of the family's 1533-position model. The record is from RNAcentral.